CAGCAGCCGCGGGAAUACGAAGGGGGCUAGCGUUGCUCGGAAUCACUGGGCGUAAAGCGCACGUAGGCGGAUCGUUAAGUCAGAGGUGAAAGCCUGGAGCUCAACUCCAGAACUGCCUUUGAUACUGGCGAUCUCGAGUCCGGAAGAGGUAAGUGGAACUGCGAGUGUAGAGGUGAAAUUCGUAGAUAUUCGCAAGAACACCAGUGGCGAGGGCGACUUACUGGUCCGGUACUGACGCUGAGGUGCGAAAGCGUGGGGAGCAAACAGGAUUAGAUACCCCCGUAGUCCCUGUCUCUUAUAC
This 301-nucleotide ribosomal RNA is filed under the name uncultured bacterium. Its description in RNAcentral is "partial 16S ribosomal RNA". It matches the Rfam family "Bacterial small subunit ribosomal RNA", at positions 509 to 807 of the family's 1533-position model. The record is from RNAcentral.